This 398-nucleotide ribosomal RNA is filed under the name uncultured bacterium. RNAcentral describes it as "partial 16S ribosomal RNA". It matches the Rfam family "Bacterial small subunit ribosomal RNA", at positions 360 to 776 of the family's 1533-position model. The record is from RNAcentral.
AAUAUUGCACAAUGGAGGAAACUCUAAUGCAGCGACGCCGCGUGAACGAUUAAUGCUUUCGAUACGUAAAGUUCUGUCCUAGGGGACGAUAAUGACGGUGCCCUAGGAGGAAGCCCCGGCUAACUACGUGCCAGCAGCCGCGGUAAUACGUAGGGGGCAAGCGUUGUCCGGAUUUAUUGGGCGUAAAGGGUUCGCAGGCGGCCUUUUAAGUCAGGUGUGAAAGACUACAGCUCAACUGUGGUAAGCACUUGAAACUGGAAGGCUUGAGUUAAGGAGAGGAAAGUGGAAUUCCUAGUGUAGCGGUGAAAUGCGUAGAUAUUAGGAGGAAUACCAGUGGCGAAGGCGACUUUCUGGACUUAUACUGACGCUCAUGCACGAAAGCGUGGGUAGCAAACAGG